AGUCAUAUGCUUGUCUCAAAGAUUAAGCCAUGCAUGUCUCAGUACAAGCCAAAUUAAGGUGAAACCGCGAAAGGCUCAUUAAAUCAGUUAUGGUUCCUUAGAUCGUACCCACAUUUACUUGGAUAACUGUGGUAAUUCUAGAGCUAAUACAUGCAAAUAGAGCCCCGACCGGAGACGGAAGGGGUGCUUUUAUUAGAUCAAAACCAAUCGGCGACGGGUCAAACCGUUGUCGUAAUAUUUGGUGACUCUGAAUAACUUUAUGCUGAUCGCACGGUCUAGCACCGGCGACGCAUCUUUCAAAUGUCUGCCUUAUCAACUGUCGAUGGUAGGUUCUGCGCCUACCAUGGUUGUAACGGGUAACGGGGAAUCAGGGUUCGAUUCCGGAGAGGGAGCCUGAGAAACGGCUACCACAUCCAAGGAAGGCAGCAGGCGCGCAAAUUACCCACUCCCGGCACGGGGAGGUAGUGACGAAAAAUAACGAUACGGGACUCAUCCGAGGCCCCGUAAUCGGAAUGAGUACAUUUUAAAUACCUUAACAAAGGUCAAUUGGAGGGCAAGUCUGGUGCCAGCAGCUGCGGUAAUUCCAGCUCCAAUAGCGUAU
RNAcentral lists this ribosomal RNA (601 nucleotides) under Ochthebius punctatus. RNAcentral describes it as "SSU rRNA". It matches the Rfam family "Eukaryotic small subunit ribosomal RNA", at positions 22 to 602 of the family's 1831-position model. The record is from RNAcentral. RNAcentral also lists the same sequence under 1 other name. Lineage: Eukaryota; Metazoa; Arthropoda; Insecta; Coleoptera; Hydraenidae.